Molecule: ribosomal RNA, 301 nt
Filed under: uncultured bacterium
Lineage: Bacteria
Description: partial 16S ribosomal RNA
Rfam family: Bacterial small subunit ribosomal RNA
Source: RNAcentral
CAGCGCCACGGGAAUACGAAGGGUGCAAGCGUUAAUCGGAAUUAUUGGGCGUAAAGGGCGCGUAGGCGGUUUGACAAGUCUGAUGUGAAAUCUCUGGGCUCAACCCAGAGUCUGCAUCGGAAACUGUCGAGCUUGAGUAUGGGAGAGGUGAGUGGAAUUUCCGGUGUAGCGGUGAAAUGCGUAGAUAUCGGGAGGAACACCUGUGGCGAAAGCGGCUCACUGGACCAUUACUGACGCUGAGGCGCGAAAGCUAGGGGAGCAAACAGGAUUAGAUACCCCGGUAGUCCCUGUCUCUUAUACA